Molecule: ribosomal RNA, 457 nt
Filed under: uncultured bacterium
Lineage: Bacteria
Description: partial 16S ribosomal RNA
Rfam family: Bacterial small subunit ribosomal RNA
Source: RNAcentral
CCUACGGGAGGCAGCAGUGGGGAAUAUUGCACAAUGGGGGAAACCCUGAUGCAGCGACGCCGCGUGAGUGAAGAAGUAUUUCGGUAUGUAAAGCUCUAUCAGCAGGGAAGAAACCCACCCUCCGGGGUGGCUGACGGUACCUGACUAAGAAGCCCCGGCUAACUACGUGCCAGCAGCCGCGGUAAUACGUAGGGGGCAAGCGUGAUCCGGAUUUACUGGGUGUAAAGGGAGCGUAGGUGGCAAGGCAAGUCAGAUGUGAAAACCCGGGGCCCAACCCCGGGAGUGCCUUUGAAACUGUCUGGCUAGAGUGCAGGAGAGGUAAGUGGAAUUCCUAGUGUAGCGGUGAAAUGCAUAGAUAUUAGGAGGAACACCAGUGGCGAAGGCGGCUUACUUGACUGUAACUGACACUGAGGCUCGAAAGCGUGGGGAGCAAACAGGAUUAGAUACCCGGGUAGUC